This 531-nucleotide ribosomal RNA is filed under the name Aspergillus nidulans. Its description in RNAcentral is "SSU rRNA". It matches the Rfam family "Eukaryotic small subunit ribosomal RNA", at positions 591 to 1127 of the family's 1831-position model. Lineage: Eukaryota; Fungi; Ascomycota; Eurotiomycetes; Eurotiales; Aspergillaceae. The record is from RNAcentral.
CCAAUAGCGUAUAUUAAAGUUGUUGCAGUUAAAAAGCUCGUAGUUGAACCUUGGGUCUGGCUGGCCGGUCCGCCUCACCGCGAGUACUGGUCCGGCUGGACCUUUCCUUCUGGGGAACCCCAUGGCCUUCACUGGCUGUGGGGGGAACCAGGACUUUUACUGUGAAAAAAUUAGAGUGUUCAAAGCAGGCCUUUGCUCGGAUACAUUAGCAUGGAAUAAUAGAAUAGGACGUGCGGUUCUAUUUUGUUGGUUUCUAGGACCGCCGUAAUGAUUAAUAGGGAUAGUCGGGGGCGUCAGUAUUCAGCUGUCAGAGGUGAAAUUCUUGGAUUUGCUGAAGACUAACUACUGCGAAAGCAUUCGCCAAGGAUGUUUUCAUUAAUCAGGGAACGAAAGUUAGGGGAUCGAAGACGAUCAGAUACCGUCGUAGUCUUAACCAUAAACUAUGCCGACUAGGGAUCGGGCGGCGUUUCUUUUAUGACCCGCUCGGCACCUUACGAGAAAUCAAAGUUUUUGGGUUCUGGGGGGAGUAUG